RNAcentral lists this small nuclear RNA (228 nucleotides) under Erinaceus europaeus (western European hedgehog). RNAcentral describes it as "7SK RNA". It matches the Rfam family "7SK RNA", at positions 1 to 164 of the family's 331-position model. From Rfam's summary of the family: 7SK was discovered as an abundant small nuclear RNA in the mid-70s but a possible function has only recently been suggested. Two independent studies have found that 7SK RNA binds the CDK9/cyclin T complex (known as elongation factor P-TEFb). Lineage: Eukaryota; Metazoa; Chordata; Mammalia; Eulipotyphla; Erinaceidae. The record is from Rfam by way of RNAcentral.
GGAUGUGAGGGUGAUCUGGCUGCGACAUCUGUCACCUCAUUGAUAGCCAGGGUUGAUUCGGCUGAUCUGGUUGGCUAGGUGGGUGUCCCCUUCCUCCCUCACUGCUCCAUGUGAGUCCCUCCCUAAGCUGCAGCCAGAUCGCCCUUACAUCCUAUCCCGCUAGGCAGAAGAGAAUGCCCCUACUUCCCCCAGUCCUGGAACCCUUGGAUAGGGCCCAUUUUCCCGGAU